This 400-nucleotide ribosomal RNA is filed under the name uncultured bacterium. RNAcentral's name for it is "bacterial SSU rRNA". It matches the Rfam family "Bacterial small subunit ribosomal RNA", at positions 356 to 773 of the family's 1533-position model. The record is from RNAcentral.
GGGGAAUAUUGCACAAUGGGGGAAACCCUGAUGCAGCGACGCCGCGUGAAGGAUGAAGUAUUUCGGUAUGUAAACUUCUAUCAGCAGGGAAGAAAAUGACGGUACCUGAGUAAGAAGCCCCGGCUAACUACGUGCCAGCAGCCGCGGUAAUACGUAGGGGGCAAGCGUUAUCCGGAUUUACUGGGUGUAAAGGGAGCGUAGACGGAGGUGUAAGUCUGAUGUGAAAACCCGAGGCUCAACCACGGGACUGCAUUGGAAACUGUGCUUCUAGAGUGCCGGAGAGGUAAGCGGAAUUCCUAGUGUAGCGGUGAAAUGCGUAGAUAUUAGGAGGAACACCAGUGGCGAAGGCGGCUUACUGGACGGUAACUGACGUUGAGGCUCGAAAGCGUGGGGAGCAAAC